CAACAAAGCACCUUGGUUUCAACCAACAAAGCACCUUAGUUUCGACCAACAAAGCACCUUGGUUUCAACCAACAAAGCACCUUGAUUUCAACCAACAUAACACCUUGGUAUUAACCAACAUAACACCUUGGUUUUAACCAACAUAACACCUUGGUUUUAACCAACAUAACAGCUUGGUAUCAAAAAACGACUAGUUUAUCCUGAAACUAAUUUGAGUUGCACUAUUAAUAUUUUAUGUGAUUGAAUAAAUGUACAAAACACACCUGUUUGUCAACUAUUUGUUGGGUGAUUGCCACGUGGUGUCAAGAUUUCAAUAUUUAGCCGAUAUUCGCUAUCACUUUACCAUAAGAUAUCCUUAUAGGUACCUUAAAGUCAAUUAUUACCACGUAUUCUCCUAUUGGUAUUCAACAAAAGUCUUGAUUGACCCGAAUGAGUUUUAGGUCUUAAAUGGAAAAACAAGCACCAUGCUAAAUGUUAUGUUGAUUCUGUGUGGAUAUUAUAAAGCAUGUUUUUGUUCUACAUUUGCAAGAAAAAUCUGUCCCCUUACUGAGGGUAGUCUACAGUAUGGUCAUCUUUCAGGAAACACAAAGGCCCUGUUUUAGUGUCCGACUUCACAAAUCACAAGUCUUUCAGACGGAAUCAUAGAAAAAUCUGUAUUUUCCAGAGGAUGUCAUACGGAUUCCUGUACGGUAGCCUAAGGCUAAUAAUACAGACUAAUCAACUGACAUGAUCAACAUGUGAAAACUCUGUGUUGAUCUGCUGGUUUUGUGUUGUUAAUUGAUUAUGUCUGUCGGCAUAAGACCAUAGCAGUUAGUUGUAGUUGAAGUUACCUGGAAUAGCCUGGUGAAACGAUGUGCUUCAUUUACGCACUUUUAAACACUGUGCUUCCUUCAGGGUUACAGAUGUAUAUUCAGUGCAUAUAAUUUUCAAACCAAUGACACACAUACAGUGUAUAGCCUGAGUGCCAGUUUGUUUGUGCUAUCAUGCCAACUCCUUGUCACUCGUUAUUUGUCUGACAUUGACAGCAAGGACACAAACAGAUCUGGGACCAGGCUAACACAUACAAAGCAUUACAGAUUUACAGAACUGAGUCCAUUCUACCCAACAGCUCAAACAGCAGACUAGUGAAAUAUUGACCCAACAAGAAUUCACUUUAAUUACUGUAUCACUGCUCACACCGUACUUAUAUAGCAACUAGGCUGUAUCUGUUGUACAAAUAUAGAUAUUUUAGCUAUCUUGUAUUCUUUGUCCUUCAGUAGACGACAGUGAUAUUUAUUUAUAUAAAAUGACAUGAAUCUACAGCCCAAGAUGCUGAGUAGUGACACAGUAUCUGUUUGGUUUUACAAGUGUUUCAAAUUGUGUCCCACAUUAAUUACAGUGUUUCAAUUCAUUAAAUAAUUCACCCCUUCAUUAAGGUGUUAAUUGAUCAAUUAAGUAAAACAAUGAAAGCGCAUUUAAACAGCUGUUUACUAUUUGUUUGUCUUCUUCCUGAAACAGUAUGUUGUUGUUGUUGUUGUUGUUAGUAAAUGUUUUUGUAGUGUAAUAUAUAAAAUGUUAUAUUUUUGCAAUAAAAUGAAAACA
Long non-coding RNA from Oncorhynchus tshawytscha (Chinook salmon), 1581 nucleotides. NCBI's taxonomy places the organism in Eukaryota, Metazoa, Chordata, Actinopteri, Salmoniformes, Salmonidae. The record is from Ensembl.